UAACUGGUCCUGACUAGUUCAUUUGCCU
This 28-nucleotide non-coding RNA is filed under the name Rattus norvegicus (Norway rat). The record is from RNAcentral. Lineage: Eukaryota; Metazoa; Chordata; Mammalia; Rodentia; Muridae.